GAGUUGCCUCCAGAACUCAUUGUGGAUGCUCCAACACUGGAAGAGAUGGGACAACCAUUUGUUUGAAAUGGAAUAGGAUUUCCUGCCUGAGCAGGGGGUUGGAUUAGAAGACCUCCAAGGUCCCUGUGUUAUUUUGUUAUAUCCCAACUUCUCUCUAAGUUAAGAAUAAAUAAAACCACCACUAUUUCAUCUGGAGACAAAAUUCUGGCCACCAGGAAUAUGCUGGCCUUUGGUCUAAUCAAGGAGGACUCUGAUAUCUACCUGUAGACAUAUUAAAGAAUAAAAUAUUGACCGUC
Crotalus tigris (Tiger rattlesnake) is the source of this 296-nucleotide long non-coding RNA. RefSeq lists it as uncharacterized. The transcript is spliced from 2 exons. Lineage: Eukaryota; Metazoa; Chordata; Lepidosauria; Squamata; Viperidae. The record is from RefSeq and is a predicted model, not a curated record.